GGCCUCCUAGCUUAGCGGUAUAAAGUGCCUGCCUAGUAAGCAGGAGAUCCUGGGUUUGAAUCCCAGGGGGCCCU
This 74-nucleotide transfer RNA is filed under the name Monodelphis domestica (gray short-tailed opossum). It matches the Rfam family "tRNA". From Rfam's summary of the family: Transfer RNA (tRNA) molecules are approximately 80 nucleotides in length. Their secondary structure includes four short double-helical elements and three loops (D, anti-codon, and T loops). The record is from Rfam by way of RNAcentral. Lineage: Eukaryota; Metazoa; Chordata; Mammalia; Didelphimorphia; Didelphidae.